Molecule: long non-coding RNA, 669 nt
Filed under: Rattus norvegicus (Norway rat)
Lineage: Eukaryota; Metazoa; Chordata; Mammalia; Rodentia; Muridae
Description: long non-coding RNA NONRATT031884
Source: RNAcentral
GGGGUAGCAAUAAUUCCCGUUACUGUUUGGCUUUGUAGAGACACGUGAAAGAUGAGACAGAAUUACCCUGACUCUGAUGAAAUCCUUCAUAAAACAUGUUUGGGGUUGUGAGCAUUGUUCUAGAACUUUUACACAGCGGCUGUGGACACUCAAGUACGAACUCCACCGGAGGAAUUCCUUGCAGACGACAGACAUGUGGCAAUCUUUUCAGAAUUCCACUCGCUCACUGAUACUGCAUGCAACGCCCACCUCGUCCAGCAAGGAAGACACAACACCGUUGGAUUCUUCUCAACAGCCUUUAUUACAGGAACACCUCAUUGUUGAUACGGGGACCCCGAGCAACAAAGGCACCAGCCUUAUAUACAAAACAGGCUAUGGCUAUAUACUUGUCCUCUAGGGAUUGGUGGAGCAUGAAAUACCUCAUUAGCAUGAAUAUCACUCCAGCCUGAUAGCUGCUGGAGAAAUGCCAGGAAAUGCGCUUUGUGGGUGUUAACCACAAACGACCACCAGAUGUCAGCACCAUCUUUUAUCUAUAUGUGCCACUCCCUACACUGCAGAUAACUCACUGUUAUCUCGAGGAAGCCUAGAAGACCAGAGCCAACAUUUCAACCAGCUUACCCAAGGUUACAGAAUGACAUGGGCGCAAAAUGAGAUCUCAUGCGAGGGGAG